RNAcentral lists this ribosomal RNA (1956 nucleotides) under marine metagenome. RNAcentral describes it as "bacterial LSU rRNA". It matches the Rfam family "Bacterial large subunit ribosomal RNA", at positions 3 to 1998 of the family's 2925-position model. The record is from RNAcentral.
UCAAGUGAAUAAGUGCAUACGACGGAUGCCUUGGCAGUAGAAGGCGAUGAAGGACGUGAUAAUCUGCGAUAAGCUUCGGUUAGCUGAUAAUAAGCUUUAACCCGGAGAUCUCCGAAUGGGAAAACCCAGUGAUCAUAAGAUCAUUAUCCUUAACUGAAUACAUAGGUUAAGGAGGCAAACCUAGGGAACUGAAACAUCUAAGUACCUAGAGGAAAAGAAAUCAACCGAGAUUCCCUUAGUAGCGGCGAGCGAACGGGGACCAGCCCUUAAGCAAUUUUGAGAUUAGUAGAAUGUUCUGGAAAGUUCAACGACACAGGGUGAUAGUCCCGUAUACGAAAAUCUUUUAAUUGUGAAAUCGAGUAAGGCGGCGCACGUGAAACGCUGUUUGAAUAUGGGGGGACCACCCUCCAAGGCUAAAUACUCUCUACUGACCGAUAGUGAACAAGUACCGUGAGGGAAAGGCGAAAAGAACCCCGGGAGGGGAGUGAAAUAGAACCUGAAAUCGUAUGCAUACAAGCAGUGGGAGCAGACUUGUUCUGUGACUGCGUACCUUUUGUAUAAUGGGUCAGCGACUUACUUCUCAGUAGCAAGGUUAACCAUUAGGGGAGCCGUAGGGAAACCGAGUCUUAAAUGGGCGAUUAGUUGCUGGGAGUAGACCCGAAACCGGGUGAUCUAUCCAUGGCCAGGGUGAAGGUUAGGUAAAACUAACUGGAGGCCCGAACCCACUUAUGUUGAAAAAUGAGGGGAUGAGCUGUGGAUAGGGGUGAAAGGCCAAACAAACCCGGAGAUAGCUGGUUCUCUCCGAAAUCUAUUUAGGUAGAGCGUCAUGUAUUACUUCUGGGGGUAGAGCACUGUUAUGGCUAGCGGGUCGUCAAGACUUAGUAAACCAUUGCAAACUCCGAAUACCAGAAAGUAUGAGCAUGGCAGACACACUGCGGGUGCUAACGUCCGUAGUGGAAAGGGAAACAACCCAGACCGUCAGCUAAGGUCCCAAAAUUAUAGUUAAGUGGGAAACGAUGUGAAAAGGCAUAGACAGCCAGGAGGUUGGCUUAGAAGCAGCCAUUCCUUUAAAGAGUGCGUAAUAGCUCACUGGUCGAGUCGGUUUGCGCGGAAGAUUUAACGGGGCUAAACUAUAUACCGAAGCUGCGGAUCGCAAUUUAUUGCGAUGGUAGGAGAGCGUUCUGUAAGCCGUUGAAGGUGAACUGUGAGGUUUGCUGGAGGUAUCAGAAGUGCGAAUGCUGACAUGAGUAACGAUAAAGGGGGUGAAAAACCCCCUCGCCAGAAGUCCAAGGUUUCCUACGCAACGUUAAUCGGCGUAGGGUUAGUCGGCCCCUAAGGCGAGGCAGAAAUGCGUAGUCGAUGGGAAACGGGUUAAUAUUCCCGUACUUCAUAUAACUGCGAUGGGAAGACGGAGAAGGUUAGCUCAGCAAGGCGAUGGUUGUCCUUGUUCAAGCGUGUAGAAAUGGUUCUUAGGAAAAUCCGGGAACCUCUAUUUCAAGGCGUGAUAACGAUCCCUCUUUUGGGAGAAGUGAGUGAGACCAUGCUUCCAGGAAAAUCCUCUAAGCUUCAGGUUAUAUGAAACCGUACCCCAAACCGACACAGGUGGACGAGAUGAGAAUUCUAAGGCGCUUGAGAGAACUCGGGUGAAGGAACUAGGCAAAAUGACACCGUAACUUCGGGAGAAGGUGUACUCUUGUUAUGUGAUAUCACUUGCUGAUAAAGCAGAAAAGAGUUGAAAAUACUAGGUGGCUGCGACUGUUUAUUAAAAACACAGCACUCUGCAAACACGUAAGUGGACGUAUAGGGUGUGACUCCUGCCCGGUGCUUGAAGGUUAAUUGAUGAGGUUAGCGCUUGCGCGAAGCUUUUGAUCGAAGCCCAAGUAAACGGCGGCCGUAACUAUAACGGUCCUAAGGUAGCGAAAUUCCUUGUCGGGUAAGUUCCGACCUGCACGAAUG